Molecule: ribosomal RNA, 660 nt
Filed under: alpha proteobacterium IMCC15184
Lineage: Bacteria; Pseudomonadati; Pseudomonadota; Alphaproteobacteria
Description: bacterial SSU rRNA
Rfam family: Bacterial small subunit ribosomal RNA
Source: RNAcentral
GGCGGCAGGCCUAACACAUGCAAGUCGAGCGCACCUUCGGGUGAGCGGCGGACGGGUUAGUAACGCGUGGGAACGUACCCUUUUCUACGGAAUAGCCUUUGGAAACGAAGAGUAAUACCGUAUACGCCCUUUGGGGGAAAGAUUUAUCGGAGAAGGAUCGGCCCGCGUUAGAUUAGAUAGUUGGUGGGGUAACGGCUUACCAAGUCUACGAUCUAUAGCUGGUUUUAGAGGAUGAUCAGCAACACUGGGACUGAGACACGGCCCAGACUCCUACGGGAGGCAGCAGUGGGGAAUCUUAGACAAUGGGCGCAAGCCUGAUCUAGCCAUGCCGCGUGAGUGAUGAAGGCCUUAGGGUCGUAAAGCUCUUUCGCCUGUGAUGAUAAUGACAGUAGCAGGUAAAGAAACCCCGGCUAACUCCGUGCCAGCAGCCGCGGUAAUACGGAGGGGGUUAGCGUUGUUCGGAAUUACUGGGCGUAAAGCGCACGUAGGCGGAUUGGAAAGUUGGGGGUGAAAUCCCGGGGCUCAACCCCGGAACUGCCUCCAAAACUAUCAGUCUAGAGUUCGAGAGAGGUGAGUGGAAUUCCAAGUGUAGAGGUGAAAUUCGUAGAUAUUUGGAGGAACACCAGUGGCGAAGGCGGCUCACUGGCUCGAUACUGACGC